This 460-nucleotide ribosomal RNA is filed under the name uncultured bacterium. RNAcentral's name for it is "partial 16S ribosomal RNA". It matches the Rfam family "Bacterial small subunit ribosomal RNA", at positions 338 to 795 of the family's 1533-position model. The record is from RNAcentral.
CCUACGGGCGGCAGCAGUGAGGAAUAUUGGUCAAUGGACGAGAGUCUGAACCAGCCAAGUAGCGUGAAGGAUGACUGCCCUAUGGGUUGUAAACUUCUUUUAUAUGGGAAUAAAAUGUUCCACGUGUGGGAUUUUGUAUGUACCAUAUGAAUAAGGAUCGGCUAACUCCGUGCCAGCAGCCGCGGUAAUACGGAGGAUCCGAUAGUUAUCCGGAUUGAUUGGGUUUAAAGGGAGCGUAGGUGGUUUGUUAAGUCAGUUGUGAAAGUUUGCGGCUCAACCGUAAAAUUGCAGUUGAAACUGGCAGUCUUGAGUACAGUAGAGGUGGGCGGAAUUCGUGGUGUAGCGGUGAAAUGCUUAGAUAUCACGAAGAACUCCGAUUGCGAAGGCAGCUCACUGGACUGCAACUGACACUGAGGCUCGAAAGUGUGGGUAUCAAACAGGAUUAGAUACCCUUGUAGUC